GAGUAGGGCGGGACACGUGUUAUCCUGUCUGAAUAUGGGGGGACCAUCCUCCAAGGCUAAAUACUCCUGACUGACCGAUAGUGAACCAGUACCGUGAGGGAAAGGCGAAAAGAACCCCUGUGAGGGGAGUGAAAUAGAACCUGAAACCGUGUACGUACAAGCAGUAGGAGCACCUUCGUGGUGUGACUGCGUACCUUUUGUAUAAUGGGUCAGCGACUUAUAUUCAGUGGCAAGGUUAACCAUCUAGGGGAGCCGUAGGGAAACCGAGUCUUAACUGGGCGCCAUAGUCUCUGGAUAUAGACCCGAAACCGAGUGAUCUAGCCAUGGGCAGGUUGAAGGUUGAGUAACAUCAACUGGAGGACCGAACCGACUAAUGUUGAAAAAUUAGCGGAUGACUUGUGGCUAGGGGUGAAAGGCCAAUCAAACUCGGAGAUAGCUGGUUCUCCCCGAAAGCUAUUUAGGUAGCGCCUCGGACGAAUACUACUGGGGGUAGAGCACUGUUAAGGCUAGGGGGUCAUCCCGACUUACCAACCCUUUGCAAACUCCGAAUACCAGUAAGUACUAUCCGGGAGACACACGGCGGGUGCUAACGUCCGUCGUGGAGAGGGAAACAACCCAGACCGCCAGCUAAGGUCCCAAAUUACAGCUAAGUGGGAAACGAUGUGGGAAGGCUUAGACAGCUAGGAUGUUGGCUUAGAAGCAGCCAUCAUUUAAAGAAAGCGUAAUAGCUCACUAGUCGAGUCGGCCUGCGCGGAAGAUGUAACGGGGCUAAGUUGUAAACCGAAGCUGCGGCAAU
Molecule: ribosomal RNA, 796 nt
Filed under: Vibrio vulnificus
Lineage: Bacteria; Pseudomonadati; Pseudomonadota; Gammaproteobacteria; Vibrionales; Vibrionaceae
Description: partial 23S ribosomal RNA
Rfam family: Bacterial large subunit ribosomal RNA
Source: RNAcentral